Molecule: long non-coding RNA, 974 nt
Organism: Triticum aestivum (bread wheat)
Lineage: Eukaryota; Viridiplantae; Streptophyta; Magnoliopsida; Poales; Poaceae
Exons: 3
Source: RefSeq, a predicted model, not a curated record
UGACCACUGUCAUUGUGAAGCCGCGGAAGGUCGCUGCAGCAUAGUAUGUAGCUACCACCGUCUUGGCCGACCAGAUCUAAAUCACCUCCGUUCAGAUCUGAAUCAGGGCAACCACGCCGGGUUAAUCAUGGACGACCCCGAGGCUGCUGGCAGUCCGGCAACAUCCGACCGCCGUGCUGACGUCGCUGCUGUACGACGACCCCCCUUGAACGAACAACGAAGGCACCACCAUAGAAGAGUAGCCACCCCGUGCAAGUGCAACCAAGGGAGCCAGCCACCGCAUCGCAGGCCGCCGUCGUCCGCUGCAUGCGCUAGGCAGCCAGCCGCCGUCGUCCGCUCCAUGUGCAGCCCCGAGCGCCGUUGCCAGAUGCAGAUCCCCCGCCACCAUCCAGCGCAAGAACUCGCGCCACCAGGAUCUGGUGCCCCCAGAUCGAAGCAGCCACGAGGAAGCGCCCCGCCGCCGCCGUCGGCCGCGCGGGCUUCGCCUGGCGGCGUCCUCCGGCGGCGGCGUGGCUGUGGACGGGAGCGGUCUGAGCUGAGCGGGUUGGGCGGCUCGCCCCCGUGUCGCCCUCUAAUGAGCGGGAGGCCAGCAAGUAGUACGAGCAGACACGCGCGAGAAAACCCUAGACCAAGAUGCGAACACCCUUCCCUGGUGCCUCGAUGCCUGACCGCCCCCGCCGGAGACACCCCAUCGCCGUGUCAAUCUCAUCUUUCGGGAUUGGAAUUGACUGGGUCAAGCUUCAUGCCUUCAAAGUAAAAUCUCAACAUGAAAAAAUUCGUCUAGGAGUAUGGCAGGAUACUUUUCCAAGAGCCUCAAUUGCAGGAUGCCGUCAUGAGCACUCUCGACGGUUUUCUGGAAGACUAUCUUGGGAACAAGAAAACUAUCAGGGGUCAGGUCAGGCUUUGCAACCAGCAGAUAUGCACAGUACCGCGAUAAGCUGUUUGCAAUGGUGUAGGACUCCCGAAGCUUGUCA